UACAGAGGGGGCAAGCGUUGUUCGGAAUUAUUGGGCGUAAAGCGCGUGUAGGCGGUUUGGUAAGUUAGACGUGAAAGCCCUCGGCUUAACCGAGGAAGUGCAUCUAAUACUGCCUUACUUGAGUGUCGGAGGGGAUGGCGGAAUUCCCGGUGUAGAGGUGAAAUUCGUAGAUAUCGGGAGGAACACCUGUGGCGAAGGCGGCCAUCUGGACUGCACCUGACGCUGACACGCGAAAGCUAGGGGAGCGAACGGG
Molecule: ribosomal RNA, 253 nt
Filed under: uncultured bacterium
Lineage: Bacteria
Description: partial 16S ribosomal RNA
Rfam family: Bacterial small subunit ribosomal RNA
Source: RNAcentral